Molecule: small nuclear RNA, 134 nt
Organism: Phyllostomus discolor (pale spear-nosed bat)
Lineage: Eukaryota; Metazoa; Chordata; Mammalia; Chiroptera; Phyllostomidae
Product: U11 spliceosomal RNA
Exons: 1
Source: RefSeq, a predicted model, not a curated record
AAAAAGUGCUUCUGUCGUGAGUGGCACACAUAGGGCAGUUUGACUGCUCUAUGUGCAGAAUCGGCAUCAAGAAAUUUCAGAACCAUAAUUUUUUGGUACCUGGGCAGCUAGUGAUUGUUGGUCCUAGUGCCCUU